This 1202-nucleotide long non-coding RNA is filed under the name Phaseolus vulgaris (common bean). Its description in RNAcentral is "long non-coding RNA (PVUL_LNC004671)". The record is from RNAcentral. Lineage: Eukaryota; Viridiplantae; Streptophyta; Magnoliopsida; Fabales; Fabaceae.
GCGCACUUGUUGGUGUUAACGGUUGAAAAUAGGGAGGAUACUGGUAGUGUUGAGGCCCGUACAACUGGCCAUCAUUUCCCAUGGUUGGUACUGGAGACCCUGCUGGGGAAUAUGGGCCAUACGGAGCAUAUCCAUAUCCAUGGUGAUAAACUAGAGACCCAUUAUCCCCAUAAACUCCCUGACAAAAUCAAAAAAUAGAGUAGAUAAAAGCAUUAGCAAUUGGAUCAAAAGGGCUGCAGAUGGAAGAAAACGGGAAUGUAAAAAUUCUCACCGAAGUCAUCUCAACUCCUUCCGAAUUCACAUAUCUGGAAUAAUCAUCCCACUCGUUACCAGUUCCAUCAUAACCUGCAAUGAACCAAACCAUUUAGCUUGCAUGAGAAUUAUAUAGUGCAGUAACAAAACUCACUAACAAGGAAUCCAUGUCGUUUGUUUGCAGUAUUUACCCAUAAACUUACCACCAUAAUAAUAUGCAGUAGACGGAUAACCAUUUGGUAGGUAACACAUAGCAGGAUCAAUAAAAUCCAACACUGGGGUCACAGACCGUUCGUAUGACGGGAUCUGGCCAUUAGCACCAUUUCCUGAAUCAACUGAUCCAUACUGAUUCCCAGUGGCCUACACAAUUGAACAAAUCAACUCAGCAUACAAUUCACUAACAGAACACAGCAAACAGAUGCAAACAUCUCAUUUAACAUAUCAAAAGCUAUACUACUGUUUACAGUGAGUCAAAUCGUGAAAUUUAUAUAACAAACAUAAAAACACACAAGAUUUUACCUUCUUGGUAGGUUCAGGCAUCUCCAAGGGCUUUGGCUGAGUUUCUAGCGAUAGCUUCUGCAGCAAAUCAGUUGCUUCUGUAGCAAAUCAGUGAAGGAACACAAAAAACCUCCGGAAAAAUCAAAGUAUUCAACAACGAAAAAACCUAAAACUCGUCACACAUACAACAAAAUUCCAAAAGAACUCAAACCCUCAAUACCCAACAACUCAAACGAGUCAAUUUAGACCGCAAAGUCAACACCGUAAAAAACUCAAGCAUACAAAAACCCCAUCAUGCAGCCAUCACAAAUCAGCAAGCAGAACACCAAACCCUAAAAGAUCAAAGCCCAAAAAUUAGGUUUAGAAACGAAUACGCAACAGAUCCAAUCAGCGAUUCACCAGAACAGAUCAAGAAAGCAAACACGAGAUAUAAAUUGCAUAAAAUAAUAAGG